RNAcentral lists this ribosomal RNA (582 nucleotides) under uncultured bacterium. Its description in RNAcentral is "partial 16S ribosomal RNA". It matches the Rfam family "Bacterial small subunit ribosomal RNA", at positions 355 to 929 of the family's 1533-position model. The record is from RNAcentral.
UGGGGAAUUUUGGACAAUGGGCGAAAGCCUGAUCCAGCAAUGCCGCGUGUGUGAAGAAGGCCUUCGGGUUGUAAAGCACUUUUGUCCGGAAAGAAAUCCUUGGCUCUAAUACAGUCGGGGGAUGACGGUACCGGAAGAAUAAGCACCGGCUAACUACGUGCCAGCAGCCGCGGUAAUACGUAGGGUGCAAGCGUUAAUCGGAAUUACUGGGCGUAAAGCGUGCGCAGGCGGUUUGCUAAGACCGAUGUGAAAUCCCCGGGCUCAACCUGGGAACUGCAUUGGUGACUGGCAGGCUAGAGUAUGGCAGAGGGGGGUAGAAUUCCACGUGUAGCAGUGAAAUGCGUAGAGAUGUGGAGGAAUACCGAUGGCGAAGGCAGCCCCCUGGGCCAAUACUGACGCUCAUGCACGAAAGCGUGGGGAGCAAACAGGAUUAGAUACCCUGGUAGUCCACGCCCUAAACGAUGUCAACUAGUUGUUGGGGAUUCAUUUCCUUAGUAACGUAGCUAACGCGUGAAGUUGACCGCCUGGGGAGUACGGUCGCAAGAUUCAAAACUCAAAGGAAUUGACGGGUCAUAGCUGUUU